AGCAGCCGCGGUAAUUCCAGCUCCAAUAGCGUAUAUUAAAGUUGUUGCAGUUAAAAAGCUCGUAGUUGAAUUUCGGGGUUAGUAGGUUGGUCGUGCCACUGGUACGUACUGGUCUCACUGACUCCUCCUUCCUGGUGAACUGUAAUGCCAUUAAUUUGGUGUUGCAGGGAAACUGGACUGUUACUUUGAAAAAAUUAGAGUGUUUAAAGCAAGCUAACGCUUGAAUACAUUAGCAUGGAAUAAUGAAAUAGGACGUUCGAUCCUAUUUUGUUGGUUUCUAGGAUUGACGUAAUGAUUAAUAGGGAUAGUUGGGGGCAUUAGUAUUCAAUUGUCAGAGGUGAAAUUCUUGGAUUUAUUGAAGACUAACUACUGCGAAAGCAUUUGCCAAGGAUGUUUUCAUUAAUCAAGAACGAAAGUUAGGGGAUCGAAGACGAUCAGAUACCGUCGUAGUCUUAACCAUAAACUAUGCCGACUAGGGAUCGGAUGAUGUUAAUUUUUAAUGACUCAUUCGGCGCCUUAC
This 520-nucleotide ribosomal RNA is filed under the name uncultured Glomus. RNAcentral describes it as "SSU rRNA". It matches the Rfam family "Eukaryotic small subunit ribosomal RNA", at positions 569 to 1091 of the family's 1831-position model. The record is from RNAcentral. Lineage: Eukaryota; Fungi; Glomeromycota; Glomeromycetes; Glomerales; Glomeraceae.